RNAcentral lists this unclassified non-coding RNA (412 nucleotides) under Hevea brasiliensis (rubber tree). Lineage: Eukaryota; Viridiplantae; Streptophyta; Magnoliopsida; Malpighiales; Euphorbiaceae. The record is from RNAcentral.
GCAGAGUGUUUUCAGUUUCUUGAAUAGAUUAUUAUAUGGGCACAACCACCACAUUUCCAAUUUCUCAUCAUCAAACAUUUUCCUGCCGUGCCUCCCUGCAGCUGCCAGGUUUCAAGACUUGCAGAAGAUGAGUCAUAGUGAUGGUGAGAGUGUUAUGUGCUCCAUUUGCCUGGUGGAUUUUAGGUCUGAAGAUUUAGUCACCCAACUCUCAAGGUGUAAACAUGUCUUCCACUUGGAUUGCAUUGACAAGUGGUUCCAUUUUCACCAAUUUACCUGUCCACUCUGCAGAUCCUCAUUUCUCUUCAACUGAAAUUCUAGUUCCUUAAGUGGGCUUUUGAUAUUUUCUCUUUAUUCUCCCCUACAUUCUAAUCUCAACAUAGAUGUUUUUCUUAUUUGAAAAUUCUUAAUUUAG